RNAcentral lists this ribosomal RNA (497 nucleotides) under uncultured bacterium. Its description in RNAcentral is "partial 16S ribosomal RNA". It matches the Rfam family "Bacterial small subunit ribosomal RNA", at positions 28 to 507 of the family's 1533-position model. The record is from RNAcentral.
GAUGAACGCUGGCGGCGUGCCUAAUACAUGCAAGUCGAGCGAACAGACGAGGAGCUUGCUCCUUCGACGUUAGCGGCGGACGGGUGAGUAACACGUAGGUAACCUACCUAUAAGACUGGGAUAACUUCGGGAAACCGGAUCUAAUACCGGAUAAUAUUUCGAACCGCAUGGUUCGAUAGUGAAAGAUGGCUUUGCUAUCACUUAUAGAUGGACCGGCGCCGUAUUAGCUAGUUGGUAAGGUAACGGCUUACCAAGGCAACGAUACGUAGCCGACCUGAGAGGGUGAUCGGCCACACUGGAACUGAGACACGGUCCAGACUCCUACGGGAGGCAGCAGUAGGGAAUCUUCCGCAAUGGGCGAAAGCCUGACGGAGCAACGCCGCGUGAGUGAUGAAGGUCUUCGGAUCGUAAAACUCUGUUAUUAGGGACGAACAAACGUGUAAGUAACUGUGCACGUCUUGACGGUACCUAAUCAGAAAGCAACGGCUAACUACGUG